GACGAACGCUGGCGGCGUGCUUAACACAUGCAAGUCGAACGGAAAGGCCCCUUUGGGGGUACUCGAGUGGCGAACGGGUGAGUAACACGUGAGUAACCUGCCCUUGACUUCGGGAUAACUUCAGGAAACUGGGGCUAAUACCGGAUAGGAAUCCUUGCUGCAUGGUGGGGGUUGGAAAGCUUCGGCGGUUUUGGAUGGACUCGCGGCUUAUCAGCUUGUUGGUGGGGUAGUGGCUUACCAAGGCUUUGACGGGUAGCCGGCCUGAGAGGGCGACCGGCCACAUUGGGACUGAGAUACGGCCCAGACUCCUAAGGGAGGCAGCAGUGGGGAAUAUUGCACAAUGGGCGGAAGCCUGAUGCAGCAACGCCGCGUGCGGGAUGACGGCCUUCGGGUUGUAAACCGCUUUCAGCAGGGGCGAAGCUUGUGGUGACGGUACCUGCAGAAGAAGCACCGGCUAACUACGUG
RNAcentral lists this ribosomal RNA (465 nucleotides) under uncultured bacterium. RNAcentral describes it as "partial 16S ribosomal RNA". It matches the Rfam family "Bacterial small subunit ribosomal RNA", at positions 28 to 507 of the family's 1533-position model. The record is from RNAcentral.